This 2000-nucleotide long non-coding RNA is filed under the name Heterocephalus glaber (naked mole-rat). RNAcentral's name for it is "lncRNA (ENSHGLG00000050194.1)". Lineage: Eukaryota; Metazoa; Chordata; Mammalia; Rodentia; Bathyergidae. The record is from RNAcentral.
ACUGCAGAUCAGGCUUUAUUGAGUGCCUAUUGUGUGCCAGACGGGGCACAAAGCAAUGAGCAAACAGUCACUGCCCGGGAGGGGCUCAUGCUUGAUCUGGCUUUGUUUCCAGCACCUAGGUCUCUGUCUCUGUCCAACCUGUCCCCCUUCCAGGCCCUGCCUGUCCUUCCUCACCCAUGCAUCCACCACCAGGGGGUGGCUCCGUCUCCGGAGCAAGGGAGUGAGCGGCAUCCGCCUCAGGAGCAUCGGGGAGGAGCGUGACCUCCCUGCCCACGCCCCGUGAGCUGCAGCGCUGAGCUGGUCCCUGGGAGCCAGCGUCUCAGGCCCGCAGCUGUUACUCCCAAGAGGUGUGAAGCCACCGCACGUCUGCACCCCGCUGUCUCCGGGGCCUGAGGAGGAGGGGCAGCCUGCAUGUGCAGGAGCUGUGUCUCCCCGCACCCCGCAUCCCAGCCCACAGCCUGGAGUUCUAGAACCUCCCAGCCCCGGGGACCUCCCCAGCCGCUCCCAAAGCAGACGCACUGUGCUGCUUUCUCCUCGGGAAGCCGCUGGCGGGCAGCACAAGCUGCCUAGGUUCCCGCGCCUCCGGAACUGGACCGCACGCCGGCCUUGACCAGCCUGGUCCUGAAAAGGCUUCGCUACCUCUAGGGGGCGUCCUCCGGGACCGCAGUCCUCCUCCUGGACCGCAGUCCUUCUUGGGCGGUGAGCUUGUGCCACGCCGGCCGGCAGCCACAGGCAGCUCCACACUAAAGCUACAGGCAGCGCGUGCCGAGAACUGGCUUCUUAAUUCACAUUUCAACACUGGCAGCGGCUCGGCUUCCCCAGCUCCAGAGGGAGAAGGGGGCAGAGGACUGAACAGGCGAGGGGAGAGCAGGGUGCAGUGGCCAGGCCUGCCGGGCUGUGUGCCCACCCCACACUGCGGCCCACAGGGGAGGCCCCUCGGCGCUAGCGGCUCUGGGCAGCCUGGCACAAUGCCAACUGGUGCUAGAUGAAUAGUUCUUGGGUACGUCAGAGGGAUUUUUUAAAAUGGGCAGCAGAAGCCAGGAAAAGAAAUCUUGAUGAAAGGGCUGUUUCUGAGCUCAGGCCGAGUGGUUUCCAGCCGGAAAGCCCCGUGUGCCCGUUGGGGCUGCCCCACUGGCUGUGGAGUCAGGCUGCAGUGCUGCCCCUCCCCUGCCGGCCACAGAGGGCCGGAAGCUGCUGCCCAGGCUGCACGGCCGACCUGCGUCCUCCCUUCGCAGUGUCCCACCCCCUGGGUCCCUGCGGCCUCGCUCUGCCCCUUCCCCUGCCUGGCAGGUGGGGAGUGGCCUGGAUCGCUGCGGCUUCUGGGGGCGCCGGGCUGGGCUGACAUCGGUCCCACACAGUGCCGGCCCCUUGGGAGAAGGAGGCCGAACCGUGCAUCUGGGGCUCCCCCGCUGCACAGGAGCCAACACGGGGGUGGGGGCCACUCGCAGUGACCAUGGGCGUAUUGCACCCCAGCCCCCACACAUGCACUCUGUGGUGUGAGCACUGGAAGCAGAGGCCCACACCGGACCCUUCCUGUCCCCACCAGGUGGCCCCGUCUCCCUAGCUGGCCUGGGGCUCGGUGCCCUCAGGCACGGGCUCCGAGAUCACCCACUGGCGGAGGUAGCUCCGGGGGGGCCCUGUGUCACACUCCACCGGGCUGCCGCAGUCGGAGCCCGCAAAACCGCUGUCGAAUGUGUCCAUGUCCAGCCCAGCGGGGGGCGAGCCCGCCUCGCUCCCAGAGACGCUGCCUGCUGACGGCCCGGCCCAGGGUGGCUCCGAGGCCCAGCCCUCCUCCCCCCGUAGGGGACAGCUUCGGCCUGUCCAGCCGGCUGCCCAGAGCCCCGCCCCAGCCCGGGGCCCCCUGGCUGAGACGCAGCCGCAGGAGAGGACUGUGGCCCCGAAUCGAGGGAGCAGGUCCCCGGGCUGGGGCCGUGGCUCCAGCCCAGUGUCCAGGUCCAGGGCCGGGUAGCCAUCAUCCCCACAGCGGCAAGGCCAGGCGC